AACGUUACCAGACACAGUCUAUAGACAAAACACAUCAGUUAGCAGGCUAGUUAGCUUGCUGUCUGCUGUGAUGUUUUUGACCAUUGCAAGCCAGUUUUGAUGACUUUUACUUGGUUAGUUCGCUAGUUUUAGACUAAAGGCUGCUUAAACUAAUUAAGCCCUCAAUGACACUGCUACAAUCUAUUUGAGCAUAAUUGCAAUAGGGCCCAUGUCACAAUUAUGUAAUAAAAAAAGUGACUGACUGACCGUAUAUGUGUAUGUCUUUAUACAGUUAACAUUUAAAAUCGAAUUUUCACCUCUGGUGUGUAUGCCCCACAGUUCUCCCUACACACGUGUGAUGUCUGCGGAGUUCGUCAAACCCUGCAGGUUUUUAUUUCCCAGUGUGCUGUGUGUGUCCUUGUAGUUGUUUUUAAAUGAAUAGAUUUUAUGUUAAGCAUGAAAAUAAAUUCACAAAGAUAUCACAGUUACCAUUUAUAUUCUGAAGUUAUCUGACAACCAGGUAUCAUUCCUUUCUAAUUUAGUGUGCUGACAAGUCUGAGAACCUAUUGCUCAUUUGAGUCCUUGCAUCCUCCCCCUCCCUUCACACUUUUACUCAUUCAUUCAACUCUGAGAAUCUGCCCUAAUCAAGUCAGUCACUUCUAAGUUGGCAUGCACUGGCCCGACCCACAGCCUUAAUGCACCUCGGAUGAUUCUGAAUGAGAGCAACCUGUCUUUGUUGUCUGUGAAAUUCCUCACAGUGAGCGGCUUGUGUUUGACACAUCGCUAAUGUAUCAUAUCGACAUUUUGCUGUAAUAGUAUGUCAACGUGUUCUAGAUCCCCGCUGGCUCUGGGCAAUCUGUGGCUGUAAACAUCCCUGAUUGGAAGCUGUGUCUCGCAUUCUUUGGCUUUCAGUCAGAUGUUUGCGGCUGCCGGUGGCUUGUUUUACCUCGUGGAUACAACAGUCCCCACCGCCUGCUGUGCUCCGUAGCCACAGUGCAUCCUCCCUUUGAAAUGCUAACCAAGUUUUUUGAGUGGUUGUGCUGUGUCUUGGGUUUGUUGUUGCAGCUCUUUUUUUAUAUAUAUAUAUAAAUUGUUGUUCCUUCAAACAACUUCAGCUAUUUUUGUCAUACAGCGCUUUGUUUGUUCCUCAACAAUGGCCUUAUCUCUACCAUAAUAGGUCUCAUCGCUGCCAUACUAAAUUUAUCUUAGGUAGACUUUUUUCAAUUUAAAGUGUUUAACCAUUCAGCAAUUUCAAUAGUAAAACUGUAAUAAAUGUCAUAGUACUUGAUGUUAUAAUGCUCCAGGAAGUCAGUAUUCUUUCUCAACAGUCAAUGUAGUGUUCCGGUUCUUGUUGUGGAGAUUCUAUUGUAGAAUUAUUGUAAUUGUCAUAUUAUAGAUGGGAUGUCAUAGGGCCAGAGACUGUACAGUCAUGUGACAUUAGCAGGUGUUAAAAUAUGUUUACACAGACAGAGCAUGUCUGUUGUAGCAGUGUGAUGGGUUGACGAUGAACUUUGCUUAGAGGAGUCGUACAGCGGAAGAACCCACCUGUUUUCAAAUCCGCGAGGACAUUUUGCCAAUGAAAGUCAUUUAUUCAAAUUUAACAGAUGAGGUAUUAGUCUUAUCCUCUGUCAGUUGGUGUCAUGAUCAUGUAUGUAUAGAUAUACAUACACAUUUUUCAGAAAACAUAAAUGUUUGCAUACACAAGACAACAGAAGGAACUGGGAGUUGAGUAAAUGUAAACACCCUACACUCGGCUGUGACUUGGCACAGUGGCUGGGCGAGGGCUGUUUACUUUCACUGGCUCGACGAAGCUCACAUGACACACAGUAUUUCUGCAUCUCAGAGCCAAGAAGUAUGACUGUGAAACUGUGAAACUGAAUGCCAUUUGCUGAAAAUGACCCCAUCAAAAUGAUGACUGGUAAUGCAGCUCACAUCAGUGGCGUAAACAGACUGCCUAUAACCAGAUAGUUUGUGUGAUCUCUCCAUACGAAAAUUAGCCACGUUUUGGCGUUCAAAAGUGGCCACUCCGUUUCAAUAAAAUGACACAUUGGACAAGGUCUGGAGAAAGUUUCCGUUGGCUUUCUUUUCCCAAAUCCAUGUCAAUUGGGUUUUAGCACGUACUGUUCACAUUCUUCCACGUCUUUGACAGACAAAUAUUCAUUGCUGACUUGCUGCAUCCAGUGACAUUACAGUUUUGUCUUCAACUAGUUUAGUAAAUGCAUUCAUAGACCCUGGUUGCUGGUCAUUACAAGCUGUAUCUCAAACCUUGUUACUGCUAAUCUGUGUUUCUUCCUUCGUGGCAUGUGCUGAAUGGCCGUGUGUUAAUAAACAAUAAAGGAAAUUCAGUUGAACAGAGUACAGUUGCUGUGUUUUAUUAUUUAUAUCCUCUCGUAAGUAGCCUGUGGUGUAAGUGAAAUGCUUUGUUCCUCGUGAGUGUUGGCCCUCAUAGUCUAAGAUUAGCUGUUUCAUUAAGUGUGCAUGGCAUCCAUUAGCUGUUUCAUUAAGUGUGCAUGGCAUCCAUUAGGUGUUUCAUUAAGUGUGCAUGGCAUCCAUUAGGUGUUUCAUUAAGUGUGCAUGGCAUCCAUUGGAUUUCCAGCAGCUUGUUCUUGCCCUCUGGAGUUCUACUUCCAGAGUUGCUCUAACUGCUGCUUACUGUUGCUCAGCUCUUAAUGUUGUAGCUCCAUAAAAUCUACUAUAAAAUACUAUAGAAAAAGUACUAUAAGCUAAUGCAGUACUAACAUAGAUGCAUUACUUUAGUACUUAAUGCAGUACUAAGUACUAUAGAAAAAGUAGUACAAGCUAAUGCAAUACUAACAUAGAUGCAGUACUUUAGUACAUAAUGCAGCUUAUGCAAUACUAAAAUAGAAUAUAUGUAAUAAAAACUAUUAGGCAAUGAAUCUGUUUAACGGUGACUGUUUUUGAGGCAACUCUUCUGACACUCAUUACCCACUUCUAUGGAAACUAUAUGCAUGUUUGCACAUGAGUCCUCUACCACUAGAUGUCACCACUAGACAGUUAUUCUAUCCCUAGGUCCAAGACUUCAGAUGUAUUGAUCAGAUCUAGGUAAAGGUGAAUGGUUUAGAACAUUUUCCCCAACAUUUUAAUUUCAUCGGAAAUAUACAAUCUAUUGCAUUUUACAUUUAGUCAUUUCGCAGAUGCUUUUGUCCAAAGCGACGUACAAGGGAGCGAC
Molecule: long non-coding RNA, 3169 nt
Organism: Clupea harengus (Atlantic herring)
Lineage: Eukaryota; Metazoa; Chordata; Actinopteri; Clupeiformes; Clupeidae
Source: Ensembl